GGCAGCUUUCACCAAUGUUUAUAAAGAAGACAAAAUCUAUUUACAUUUUUCCAAAUUCUUUAUGAUCUUUCUCAAUUACACAUACAUUCAUCUCCAUUUAUUAGAGAAGAGUGGUUUAUAUUAGAUAGAAAUAGACCGAUGGAGAGAAGAAAGACGGAGAAAUCAGUGCACCACUCUACAACAGAUGGGAUUUGCUGAGAUAUCUUUAUCAUUGAGUAGAAGAUAUUAUUUAAGUCGUUAUGCUCAACUUGAAUGGAAGAGAUUUACAAAUUUUCUUAUGCUGGGGUAACUGUUUUUCCAAAGACUAAAUAUUUUAGUAAAUCAGAGUUUUGUUGCCUGCACAUCUAUUAAUUUGUUCCUGGUGUACUGUGUUGUGUGUGUGUAUAGUGAGAAGGGGAAAUGAAGACAGAGGAGGGAAGCUGCUCCUCCACUCUGCCUCAAGCUCGUGCAGAACUAUUUCCUCCAUGGACCCAGCUCCCAUCCAGGCUCUUUCCCGUGGCCCUGUGGCUUGUCUCUGACAACAGCAACUUGUUCUCAUGUCUCCUCAGUCGUAGGAAAGGCCAUUUCAUGACACAGGGAAUCUCCAUAGGAGCAUGACAGAAAGCCGUUUUUGGGGAACAAGUGAUGUUUGGUUACAUGAGUAAGUUCUUUAGUGGUGAUUUGUGAGAUUUGGUGUACCCAUUAUCUGAGCAGUAUACACCAAUUCUUUUUCUACAUAUAUACCCAUAAAAACUGAAAACUUUUGUUCAUACAACAACAUGUACAUGAAUGUUAAUAGUAGCAUUGUACAUAAAAAGCCAAAAAAUGGAAACAAAGCAAAUAUCUAUCAACUGAUGAAUCGAUAAACAAAUAUGGUAUAUCCAUACAAUGGAAUGUUAGUCUCCCACAUAAAGGAAUGAAGUACUGGUACAUGGAAUAACAUGAAUGAACCUUGAAAACAUUAUUUUAAGUGAAAAAAGCCAGAUUCAAAAGGCCAAAUAUUGUAUAAUUACAUUUACAUUAAGUGUUCAAAAUAGGCAAAUCCAUAGAGUCAUAGCUUAGUGGUUGCCAGGAGCUGGAAUAAGAAGGCAUAGGCAGUGAUUGCUAAUGGAUACAGGGUUUUUUAAGGUAAUGAAAAUGUUUGGAUUAGAUCUUGGUGACGCUCGAACAACUUUGUAUAUUCUGAAACCCAUUAAAUUGUACACUAUAAUGUGGUAACUUUUGAAGUAUGUGAAUUACCAUCUAAUUUUUUAAAAACUGGAACUGCAAAAUAUUGGCAAACAUACUAGAAAGACAUGGCUAAUUGAAAAAAGGAAGUAAAAAGUGAAAGAAUAUAUGAAAAUAACAAAAAUAGGAAAAAUUCAUGAUGUAAUCUCUUUUCUUAGAGAAAGGAGAUGAUAUAUAAUAAUGGGUAAAACAACAGAAAAAUAAAGCCCAUUGUAUUUUCAGUGCAUUUUUUUUCCAAUUAAAGUACCUACUUGAUAAGAUAUCCAUUUGUGUGUGUUUGGGUGUUGGCAAAACAUAAGACAUAAACAGCCAUCUUUUUUUGAAACCCAGAUAAUUCUAGACUUAAAAUCCACUGUUUUUUUAUAUUUUGACUGUGAUUACAAUUUUUGCAUUCUUUUUUUUAUGUAAAAUCUUUGAAAUCCAUUGGUAUUUUACAUUUUAGUACAUCUCAACUUGGAUGUAAAAUGUUUAUCAAAAAUAUUUGAUCUGUAUUUAGAUUUGUAAAAAUUACAGUUAAAAUAAUUUAAUAUAAAAGAG
This 1743-nucleotide long non-coding RNA is filed under the name Callithrix jacchus (white-tufted-ear marmoset). RNAcentral describes it as "lncRNA (ENSCJAG00000066391.2)". The record is from RNAcentral. Lineage: Eukaryota; Metazoa; Chordata; Mammalia; Primates; Cebidae.